AGGGGGUAAUGGGGGAACAGGUCAGAGCGGGGUUGAGGCUAGAACUGAGGUUGUGUGACGAUGUCAUUCAAUAAUAUGCCCAUUCAAGGAGUUCGGUCACACACUCAUAAUUACACACAGUCACAUACACACACACUUGAGUGGUUAAACAGGCUCCCGCCAUUCCGCCCACCCACUGAACUCUACAACCCUGAAGAGCAUGACACUGUGGCAUCACGGCGUCGUGAUGUCACACAAGACUUGGAACAAGACUUGAAACUGUCAGCCAAUCGUUAAACAGGCUCCCGCCAUUCCACCCACUCACAGUGUCCGGGUGAUGUCAUGGCAUUGUGACGUCACAGAACAGAAUCCCUCCACCCACUGAGAGAUGAAUUUCAGUCACUGACCAAGUUCAGGUGUUUUUUUGUGUUCUUGCCUGACUUGUAUAUUUUAUUGUUUGUCUUUGUCAGAAAAAAAAAACUUGUGACAUCACAGAGCUUUGGUUUGGAAAUGUGUCUCUCAUUUCAACUACUCUCUGAUAUAAACCACAACUCCCCAUAUUGAAACUUUGAUAGAAGUUCUGUUUGACUGGCUGUGAAUGUAGUUGAAUGUAAUCAGUGUUGUUUUUUAAAUGUUCACAAAAUAUUCAUGUUGUGUUGUGGUCCUCUGUUGUGUUAGUUGGCACUUAACCGUCAUUUGCUCCAUGGGGCGCCGUACUACUAUGGCUGACCCUGUAAAGCAACACAUUUCACUGAACCUAUUCAGUGUACUGUAUGUGAUAAUACUUUAACUGUACAGAUCAAAAUAUAUUAAAAUAAAACAAGUUCCUGCAUGUCGCGUUUCUAUUUUUGUUCAGUAUAUAUCCUGUGGAAUCUGCUAGUUUCAGUUGUAAUCAGCAGUUAGGUCACACCCUGACCAUAGAGAGCCUUUCUAUUUCUCUAUUUGGUUAGAUCAGGGUGUGAUUUGGGUGGGCAAUAUAGUGUUCUUAUUUCUUUGUUUGGCCGGGUAUGGUCCCCAAUCAGAGGCAGCUGUCUAUCGUUGUCUCUGAUUGGGGAUCAUACUUAGGCAGCCCUUUUCCCACCUGUGAUUGUGGGAUCUUGUAUUUUGGUUAGUUGCCUGUGAGCACGCCAUUUGCUUCACGUUUCGUUUGUGCGUUAUUGUUUUGUUUGGUGAGUUUCAAUUUAUUAAACUAUGUGGAACUCUACGC
Molecule: long non-coding RNA, 1186 nt
Filed under: Salmo salar (Atlantic salmon)
Lineage: Eukaryota; Metazoa; Chordata; Actinopteri; Salmoniformes; Salmonidae
Description: lncRNA (ENSSSAG00000081930.1)
Source: RNAcentral